This 408-nucleotide ribosomal RNA is filed under the name uncultured bacterium. RNAcentral describes it as "partial 16S ribosomal RNA". It matches the Rfam family "Bacterial small subunit ribosomal RNA", at positions 28 to 526 of the family's 1533-position model. The record is from RNAcentral.
GACGAACGCUGGCGGCGUGCUUAACACAUGCAAGUCGAACGAAGUGGCGAACGGGUGAGUAACGCGUAAACAACCUGCCCUUCAGAGGGGGACAACAGUAGGAAACGACUGCUAAUACCGCAUACUGAAGGAGGGGCUUGCGGCUGAUUAGCUCGUUGGAGGGGUAACGGCCCACAAAGGCGAUGAUCAGUAGCCGGGCUGAGAGGGUGAACGGCAAAAUUGGGACUGAGACACGGCCCAGACUCCUACGGGAGGCAGCAGUGGGGAAUCUUCCGGAAUGGACGAAAGUCUGACGGAGCAACGCCGCGGGAGUGAUGACGGCCUUCGGGUUGGAAAGCUCUGUUAAUCAGGACGCGGUACCGGAAUAGAAAGCCACGGCUAACUACGUGCCAGCAGCCGCGGUAAUUC